AGAGUUUGAUCCUGGCUCAGACUGAACGCUGGCGGCAUGCCUAACACAUGCAAGUCGAACGGUAACAGGUCUUCGGAUGCUGACGAGUGGCGGACGGGUGAGUAAUGCGUAGGAAUCUGUCUUUGAGUGGGGGACAACCCAGGGAAACUUGGGCUAAUACCGCAUAAGCCCUGAGGGGGAAAGCGGGGGAUCUUCGGACCUCGCGCUGGAAGAGGAGCCUACGUCUGAUUAGCCAGUUGGUAGGGUAAAGGCCUACCAAGGCGACGAUCGGUAGCUGGUCUGAGAGGACGACCAGCCACACCGGGACUGAGACACGGCCCAGACUCCUACGGGAGGCAGCAGUGGGGAAUUUAUCGCAAUGGGGGCAACCCUGACGAAGCAAUGCCGCGUGAAUGAAGAAGGCCUUCGGGUUGUAAAGUUCUUUCGUGGAGGACGAAAAGGUGGGUGCUAAUAUCGCCUGCUGUGACGUAAUCAAAA
Molecule: ribosomal RNA, 477 nt
Filed under: uncultured Acidithiobacillus sp.
Lineage: Bacteria; Pseudomonadati; Pseudomonadota; Acidithiobacillia; Acidithiobacillales; Acidithiobacillaceae
Description: bacterial SSU rRNA
Rfam family: Bacterial small subunit ribosomal RNA
Source: RNAcentral